GCGGGGUGUGGGUUCCGUCCACCCCAGGGCGGCGCGGUGCACGCCGGGAGUCGGAGGCGCCACGGGGCCUGCAUCCCGGCGGCCCCGGGCGGCGCAGUGCACGCCGGGAAUUGGAGUCCCGCCGGCCCGGCCUGACCUGUUGCUGCCUCCCUGGGCGGGUGUCCCGGGGGCUGAGGACAGGGACGGGGAUGGCGCGGCCUGGACGGGGAUGGCGCGGCCAGGCCGGGGCGCCUGCGCAGACGGCCGGGGCCGGCGACAAGCUGGGGAAAGCGGGGAGUAUGCAUAAGCUUAAAUCAUCUCAGAAGGACGAGGUCCACCAGCUCAUGGCAUUCACUCAGGCUGGUGAGAGAACUGCCAUCUGGCGCUCAGCCCAAAGUGAGUGGAAACUGGACGCGCCACGGACAGCUUCUUCCAGAACCCGGCCUCGUUCCACAAGGACUCCAUGCGAACCUCCGUGGACAGGAAGACGCUGGAGCCGCUGUAUAACUGGUACAAAGGUCUGUCGUGGUAGGAGCGCAGGCUUGAGUCAGGAGGUGUGUGGGAACCUCUGUCCUAUGAGCCCACAGCGGCAGGUUCUCUCGGACACAGGAGCGUAG
RNAcentral lists this long non-coding RNA (596 nucleotides) under Monodon monoceros (narwhal). RNAcentral describes it as "lncRNA (ENSMMNG00015016092.1)". Lineage: Eukaryota; Metazoa; Chordata; Mammalia; Artiodactyla; Monodontidae. The record is from RNAcentral.